AGGGUUUGAUCAUGGCUCAGGACGAACGCUGGCGGCGUGCUUAACACAUGCAAGUCGAACGGGGAUAAUUAGUGGAAGGUACUUGUACUGAAAGGUAAUUAUUCUAGUGGCGGACGGGUGAGUAACGCGUGAGCGACCUGCCUUCUACAGGGGGAUAACAACGGGAAACCGUUGCUAAUACCGCAUAAGACCACGAAGCUGCAUGGUUUUGAGGUCAAAGGAGCAAUCCGGUAGAAGAGGGGCUCGCGUCCCAUUAGCUAGUUGGUGAGGCAACGGCUCACCAAGGCAACGAUGGGUAGCCGGGCUGAGAGGCUGAACGGCCACACUGGAACUGAGAUACGGUCCAG
Molecule: ribosomal RNA, 347 nt
Filed under: uncultured bacterium
Lineage: Bacteria
Description: bacterial SSU rRNA
Rfam family: Bacterial small subunit ribosomal RNA
Source: RNAcentral